GUGCUAAUCUGCGAUAAGCGCCGGUAAGGUGAUAUGAACCGUUAUAACCGGCGAUACCCGAAUGGGGAAACCCAGUGUGAUUCGUCACACUAUCAUUAACUGAAUCCAUAGGUUAAUGAGGCGAACCGGGGGAACUGAAACAUCUAAGUACCCCGAGGAAAAGAAAUCAACCGAGAUUCCCCCAGUAGCGGCGAGCGAACGGGGAGGAGCCCAGAGCCUGAAUCAGCAUGUGUGUUAGUGGAAGCGUCUGGAAAGGCGCGCGAUACAGGGUGACAGCCCCGUACACAAAAGCGCAUGUGCUGUGAGCUCGAUGAGUAGGGCGGGACACGUGGUAUCCUGUCUGAAUAUGGGGGGACCAUCCUCCAAGGCUAAAUACUCCUGACUGACCGAUAGUGAACCAGUACCGUGAGGGAAAGGCGAAAAGAACCCCGGCGAGGGGAGUGAAAAAGAACCUGAAACCGUGUACGUACAAGCAGUGGGAGCACAGGUUUACCUGUGUGACUGCGUACCUUUUGUAUAAUGGGUCAGCGACUUAUAUUCUGUAGCAAGGUUAACCGAAUAGGGGAGCCGGAGGGAAACCGAGUCUUAAUUGGGCGUUAAGUUGCAGGGUAUAGACCCGAAACCCGGUGAUCUAGCCAUGGGCAGGUUGAAGGUUGGGUAACACUAACUGGAGGACCGAACCGACUAAUGUUGAAAAAUUAGCGGAUGACCUGUGGCUGGGGGUGAAAGGCCAAUCAAACCGGGAGAUAGCUGGUUCUCCCCGAAAGCUAUUUAGGUAGCGCCUCGUGAAUUCAUCUCCGGGGGUAGAGCACUGUUUCGGCUAGGGGGCCAUCCCGGCUUACCAACCCGAUGCAAACUGCGAAUACCGGAGAAUGUUAUCACGGGAGACACACGGCGGGUGCUAACGUCCGUCGUGAAGAGGGAAACAACCCAGACCGCCAGCUAAGGUCCCAAAGUCAUGGUUAAGUGGGAAACGAUGUGGGAAGGCCCAGACAGCCAGGAUGUUGGCUUAGAAGCAGCCAUCAUUUAAAGAAAGCGUAAUAGCUCACUGGUCGAGUCGGCCUGCGCGGAAGAUGUAACGGGGCUAAACCAUGCACCGAAGCUGCGGCAGCGACACUGUGUGUUGUUGGGUAGGGGAGCGUUCUGUAAGCCUGUGAAGGUGUGUCGUGAGGC
RNAcentral lists this ribosomal RNA (1173 nucleotides) under Salmonella enterica subsp. enterica serovar Enteritidis. RNAcentral's name for it is "partial 23S ribosomal RNA". It matches the Rfam family "Bacterial large subunit ribosomal RNA", at positions 58 to 1269 of the family's 2925-position model. Lineage: Bacteria; Pseudomonadati; Pseudomonadota; Gammaproteobacteria; Enterobacterales; Enterobacteriaceae. The record is from RNAcentral.